RNAcentral lists this ribosomal RNA (115 nucleotides) under Pteropus alecto (black flying fox). Lineage: Eukaryota; Metazoa; Chordata; Mammalia; Chiroptera; Pteropodidae. The record is from RNAcentral.
GGCAGUCUACAAGCCCCAACGAGCCCGAUCCCAGCUGAUCGCGGAAGCUAAGCAGGGUCCGGCCUGGUUAGUACUUGGAUGGGAGACCACCUAGGAAGACCAGGUGCUACGGGCA